This 527-nucleotide ribosomal RNA is filed under the name uncultured bacterium. Its description in RNAcentral is "bacterial SSU rRNA". It matches the Rfam family "Bacterial small subunit ribosomal RNA", at positions 983 to 1509 of the family's 1533-position model. The record is from RNAcentral.
GACAUACUAAGAACUUUCCAGAGAUGGAUUGGUGCCUUCGGGAACUUAGAUACAGGUGCUGCAUGGCUGUCGUCAGCUCGUGUCGUGAGAUGUCGGGUUAAGUCCCGCAACGAGCGCAACCCUUUUCCUUAUUUGCCAGCGGGUUAAGCCGGGAACUUUAAGGAUACUGCCAGUGACAAACUGGAGGAAGGCGGGGACGACGUCAAGUCAUCAUGGCCCUUACGGCCAGGGCUACACACGUGCUACAAUGGUCGGUACAAAGGGUUGCUACCUCGCGAGAGGAUGCUAAUCUCAAAAAGCCGAUCGUAGUCCGGAUCGCAGUCUGCAACUCGACUGCGUGAAGUCGGAAUCGCUAGUAAUCGCGGAUCAGAAUGCCGCGGUGAAUACGUUCCCGGGCCUUGUACACACCGCCCGUCACACCAUGGGAGUUUGUUGCACCAGAAGUAGGUAGUCUAACCGCAAGGAGGACGCUUACCACGGUGUGGCCGAUGACUGGGGUGAAGUCGUAACAAGGUAGGCGUAGAUGA